Molecule: long non-coding RNA, 258 nt
Organism: Mustela erminea (ermine)
Lineage: Eukaryota; Metazoa; Chordata; Mammalia; Carnivora; Mustelidae
Exons: 3
Source: RefSeq, a predicted model, not a curated record
AGGUCAAAAGCUCGAACAGGUUACUGGUUUUGGGGUUUUUUUCAAGUUAAUAAGUUACUUUCAGGGAAGAAAGAAGGACUAGGAUCAGGGGUUUGACUUCAGAGAAUAGAGUGCCAGGACCAUUCAUAGGGGAACAAGUCUUUUCAACAACUGCACCUGGACAACUGGACAUCCAUCUGCCAAAGAAUGAAGCUGGACUUCUACAAUGCACAAUAUGCAAAAAUGGAUCAAAGACCUAAAACUGUAAGGCACUUAAAA